AGUGAACGCUGGCGGUAGGCCUAACACAUGCAAGUCGAACGGCAGCACAGUAAGAGCUUGCUCUUACGGGUGGCGAGUGGCGGACGGGUGAGGAAUACAUCGGAAUCUACUUUUUCGUGGGGGAUAACGUAGGGAAACUUACGCUAAUACCGCAUACGACCUACGGGUGAAAGCAGGGGAUCUUCGGACCUUGCGCGAUUGAAUGAGCCGAUGCCGGAUUAGCUAGUUGGCGGGGUAAAGGCCCACCAAGGCGACGAUCCGUAGCUGGUCUGAGAGGAUGAACAGCCACACUGGAACUGAGACACGGUCCAGACUCCUAAGGGAGGCAGCAGUUGGGAAUAUUGGACAAUGGGCGCAAGCCUGAUCCAGCCAUACCGCGUGGGUGAAGAAGGCCUUCGGGUUGUAAAGCCCUUUUGUUGGGAAAGAAAAGCAGCAGGUUAAUACCCCGCUGUUCUGACGGUACCCAAAGAAUAAGCACCGGCUAACUUCGUG
This 492-nucleotide ribosomal RNA is filed under the name uncultured bacterium. RNAcentral's name for it is "partial 16S ribosomal RNA". It matches the Rfam family "Bacterial small subunit ribosomal RNA", at positions 29 to 507 of the family's 1533-position model. The record is from RNAcentral.